AUGCAGCCAUGCCGCGUGUGUGAAGAAGGCCUUCGGGUUGUAAAGCACUUUCAGCGAGGAGGAAGGUGGUGAGCUUAAUACGUUCAUCAAUUGACGUUACUCGCAGAAGAAGCACCGGCUAACUCCGUGCCAGCAGCCGCGGUAAUACGGAGGGUGCAAGCGUUAAUCGGAAUUACUGGGCGUAAAGCGCACGCAGGCGGUUUGUUAAGUCAGAUGUGAAAUCCCCGGGCUCAACCUGGGAACUGCAUUUGAAACUGGCAAGCUAGAGUCUCGUAGAGGGGGGUAGAAUUCCAGGUGUAGCGGUGAAAUGCGUAGAGAUCUGGAGGAAUACCGGUGGCGAAGGCGGCCCCCUGGACGAAGACUGACG
Molecule: ribosomal RNA, 367 nt
Filed under: Serratia sp. (in: enterobacteria)
Lineage: Bacteria; Pseudomonadati; Pseudomonadota; Gammaproteobacteria; Enterobacterales; Yersiniaceae
Description: bacterial SSU rRNA
Rfam family: Bacterial small subunit ribosomal RNA
Source: RNAcentral